AGACGAGGAGGAACAAUAAGAGUGUGUGAAGUGAACACUCCCAGGCAGCAUUGGACGCAUACAAAGUGAGGCUCACCAGUCAAAUUGCAGAGCAGAUAACUACUGUACGUGUGUGACAUCAACAAAAACCACUAAAGAAGAGAACAAGCCUGAGGAGCAGAAGCUGGAAAAAAACCAAAUUUCAAAGGGAGGACAACAACGGAGCAGCGAAUGAGAUUUGUUUGAGUUUCAUCUUACUUUUCUUCGACUCCUCAUGCAGACCAUCAUCUAUAUCUGAGACAUUAUCCCUCCUAACCCUAAUCUCAACCUGUCUGCUAAUCGCAGGCAGCGUGUGAAGGCUCCUCUGGAUGAUUUAGUGCACUCAGACGCUCUGCAGGCAAACUCCUGCAACGCUCAUCACUGUCUCCUCCGCAUCAACUGGUCUGCUCACUUCUGUUUUGUCAUUUCUGACACUUAAGUCUGGGCUUGGCUGAGUGAGUGAAAACAACAAGGGCUCUCGCAGGAUGGAUGCUGGAGAACAGACGCUGACCCUUCUGAACAGGGUAUGGGUAAAGUUGCAGAAUCUGCCCAGCGCCAACAGUAUAGAUGUGGGGGCUUUCCUCGUCCUGCUAACAUUCAUCUUGGUGGUGGUGGUCAUGUCAGUGGUGACCUGCUUGACCUGCUGCUGUUGUUGCCGCUGCUGCAAGACCAAGAUGAAGGGACCGAAUAUCUGAACAAAUGUGCUCAACGCGAGGAGGAUUAUUCAAAUGUGCAGCUUCCGACAUCAAGCAUCUAAGCACAAACAAAAGAGUUGCAAGUGUUUUUCUGCAGCUCUCUCAAGUGCCAUUGCCAUGUUAUUCAUAGGCAGACAUUCAAGAUCUCUGCGGAGGUUCAGACAGGGUGUGUCCAGCUGCACCAAAGAAGCCAAACCCUUGAACAAUAAACUGAACUGACGGGCACAGAGAGGGGUGUCCUGACUGGCUGCCAGAAACACCUGCCAAAGGUGCCAGGUUUUCAGAAGAAUCCACUCUCUACAGGGCAACAACUCCCCUGACGUUGGGAAAAGGCAGGGCCACACUCAAAAUGCAACUUUAAAUCAUGAAGGCAAAAUACAUGGAAUUUGAGCAGUGAAAAUAACUAAAUAAAAUAAAUAGAAAUUGAAAUAAACUGCAGGACAUCAACAAUAACAGUAAGAUAUGAUGGGGGAAGAUAAAUUGCUUUGUUUGUGAGACAUUGUUGAGGAGUGGGACAAGAUUCUCCUGAACUGAAGCUGUUUCAUAACUGGGACUCGAAGAGAGAUCAAGUCCGCCCUCUGCUGUACGCAAACUGACAUAGCAUGUAUAUGAUUAAAGUUGUAUUACGCAUGACGUACUUAAGCAAAGGGAAAAUGGAUUAUGUAACGAAGUGAGGCUUUGACUUAACACUUAUUGUACUGCCCACUUUGAUUUGUAAAUAAUAAACAAAAAGUGAGAGGGAA
Paralichthys olivaceus (Japanese flounder) is the source of this 1456-nucleotide long non-coding RNA. RefSeq lists it as uncharacterized. Lineage: Eukaryota; Metazoa; Chordata; Actinopteri; Pleuronectiformes; Paralichthyidae. The record is from RefSeq and is a predicted model, not a curated record.